CGACCGCGACCCCAGGUCAGGCGGGAAUUACCCGCUGAGUU
RNAcentral lists this ribosomal RNA (41 nucleotides) under Clinopodium bolivianum. RNAcentral describes it as "partial 28S ribosomal RNA". Lineage: Eukaryota; Viridiplantae; Streptophyta; Magnoliopsida; Lamiales; Lamiaceae. The record is from RNAcentral.